Schistocerca nitens (vagrant locust) is the source of this 5244-nucleotide long non-coding RNA. RefSeq lists it as uncharacterized. The transcript has 4 exons. NCBI's taxonomy places the organism in Eukaryota, Metazoa, Arthropoda, Insecta, Orthoptera, Acrididae. The record is from RefSeq and is a predicted model, not a curated record.
AUGUCCCUUCUUUACCUUGACGAAAGAACUUAUACUUUCAAUUCAACAAAAAUGGUUGAGAUAUCCGAAGGUAGAUUGAAGACGCUUUUAACAGUGACAUUUUUAACGGGCUUCAUACUUGGAUACAAAAUGAAAGAAUUUCGUUUAUGGUGGCUACGAAGAAAACGAGACUUCCUAGCCAGUAAAUUAUCAGAAACGCAGAAAAAAAUUGAUGUGAUGUAGCGUGGGAUUGGUUGUUAAUUGUUAUUACCCAUUAAUGUGUGUGUUGUAAAGUGACAUAGAAACAUCAACGACUCUUCUGUGAAAGAAAGUCAUUCGGUGCACGGAAAAUGCAAUGCAAUUAUUGGUGAAACACGUAUUGUAGAACGUGUUGCGAUUCCUAUAAAGAAGACUGCACAUUAUAAACCAUCUAUCGUUCGACAGUCACUAGUUUCAUUUGCUUCCCCUAAGUUAUCUGAUAGAGAAACGCAGAUGUUUGUGACGUAUUUAAGUUAAAAAUACACAUUUUUGCAUGCAUCAUUAUUUGUAAACACACAAGUGUUUUUUUAUAAUAAAAUAAUACUUUUCACUGUUAUUACGUUUUAGUUUAAUUCUCGAAUUUCAUUGUUAUUACGUUUAAGCUUAAUUGUCAGUUACAAGCAUGCCAACAAAGCAUGUAUUCAUUUAUUUAUUUCGUGUUCCAUAGAUCCAUAUGGGAACAUAUCCCUGGAUAUAGAACGAGUCAAGGUUUUUACAGAUUAUUGUUUUGUGCACAGAUACAUUGAUCUUAUCAUUAGAUUAAAGAAACUGUUAAGUUUAGCAUAUACCCUUACAUAUUAGUUAAGAUACAGGACAUCUGAAAGAAUAUACAGUCAUACAUAAAUUUGGGUAAAAUUGUUCUUAAGUUACACAGGCGCCAUAUACAGACAUACAUAAAUUUUUGUAUUGUAUUAGUUACACUGUACUUACAGAGUAUGAUUAAUCAAUUGUAGAGGUCACACAGUAAGGUUUAAACACAAACAAGAGAUUCUAUGCAUUUUUGCUAAGAAAUUCAUCAAUACUGUAACAAGAUUCAUCUAAAAGGAACUGCUUCAGAUUUUCUUUAAACUUUGGCAUGUUUCCAACCAGUUCUUUAAUGUGCGGUGGGAGGGCAUUAAAAAUCUUGGUGCCACUGUAUAGAACCCCCUUCUGGACCAUGCUUUUCGUUUUUAGUUCAUAAUGGAUAUCCAGUUUCCUUCGGGUGUUAUAACUCUGGUAUGAGCUAUUGAUUUUGAAUAAGUUGCUAUUUUUUUAAACAAAGCACAUCAGGGAAAAAAUAUAUUGGGCAGGUGUUGUAAGGAUUUGUAGAGCUCUAAACAGAUCCAUGCACAAGGGCCUAGGAUGUACUCCACACACAAUUCUUAUUGCUCGCUUCUGUGCAUGGAACACUUUUUUUUGCUGUUGGUUGAUUUCCCCAAAAUAUUAUACCAUAGGCCAUAAGUUGGUGAAAAUAGCCAAAAUAUGCACUUUUAUUGUGCUAAUUUCCCUAGUGUCUGAAAUUAUUCUUAAGGCAAACGUUGCUGAGUUUAGCCUUUUGCGCAGAUCUUGAAUAUGGUGGUGCCACUUCAUUUUGCUAUCUAUAAGCAGACCCAAGAAUUUGGAGGACUCAACCUUCAAAAUCUCAUGCUAACCCAUUUUUAGGUUCAUUUCAUUAGUAACAUUUGUGUUAGAAGAGAAAUGAAUGUAAUUUGCCUUUUUUAGGUUGACUGUAAGGCCAUUGGUUUCAAACCAGUUUGUCAAAUCUGCAAAAGCUUUAUUUGCAGCCUCAUUUGACACAUUCCCUGAGAGAUUAUUAACUGAUAAAGUGGUGUCGUCAGCAAACAUGAGUAUUUUCCCAUAUUCUGUAUAUAGUGCUAAGUCAUUUAUAAAUAUUAGAAAGAGCAGUUGGCCCAGUACUGAGCCUUGGGGUACUCCUGCAGUAAUGGAGCCCCAUUCUGAAGAUACCUGGCCACCAUGCAGUCCUUCCACGAUUACUUUCUGCUUUCUAUCACACAGAUAGGAUUCAAGCCACAUGCCUACGGUUCCACCCAUUCCUAGGGUCUUGGCUUUACUCAAGAGAAUAUGGUGACUUACAGUGUCAAAAGCUUUUGACAGGUCGCAAAUUAUUCCAACCGUCAUGAUAUUAUUAUUUAUGGCUUCCAUAACAUUGUCAACAAAGGCAUGUAUUGCAUCCACGGUUGAUACCUCUUUCUGAAAGCCAAACUGGCUAUUUGCUGAGGAUGUUAUAUUUACUAAGAUGCUCAACCAUUCUGCUAUGCAUCAAUUUCUCUAGUACCUUGGAGAAAACUGAGAGUAAUGAAAUUGGUGAAUAGUUUGUAGCCUCAGUCUUUUCUCCCUUUUUAUAAAUUGGUCAUAUAAGCCCAUAUUUUAGCCUGUCAGGAAAAACACCUUCUUCCAAUGACGUAUUACUAAUAUGGCAGGGGACUGUACUUAUUUCUUUACAACAGUAUUUCAGUAACUUGUUGGAAAUAUUUUCAACUCCAGCAGAAUUUUUACAUUUUAAAGACAUAAUUAUUUUUUCUAAUUCUAUCACUGUAGUUUUUUGAAGAUGCAUCUCAUCUAUUUUGUUAGUUAAGGUGUUAUGGAAGUAUUCUGUAGCUUUCUUUACAGAACCCUGGCAUCCCAUUCGGUUGGUGACUGUUAGGAAAUGAUUGGGAGCAUCCACCGAAAGGCUCCCAGUUCUUAAGCUAAUCAUUUCUGUGGCAGAUAGGCUUUUCCCCAUCUCGCUUUUAACAUAUUUCCAUAUGGUUUUCAUUUUGUUAUUUGAUUUGUCAAUUUCCUUUUUUAGAUACAUACUUUUAGAUUUCUGGAUCACCUUCCUUAAUAUCUUAGAGUACACUUUAUAUUGCCCCAUCACUGCAGUAUUGUUAGACUGUCUAGCUGAGGCAUACAAAUCUCUUUUUGUUUUACAUGAAAUUUUGAUGCCCUGGGUAAUCCAUGGCUUAAAUGCAGGGUUACAUUGAUUUUCUCUGACUCUUUUAUGUAGAAAGACCUCUUCAAAAAUAUUUGAUGUUAAAUUAAUGGCUCUGAGCACUAUGGGACUUAACAGCUAUGGUCAUCAGUCGGUAAAUUAAUAAAUACAUUAAAUUUUGUGUUGACAUCUGCUGAGUUGAAUACUUCAGACCAGUCAACUAACUGUAGCUUCUUACUGUAUGUCUCAAUUGUUUCUUUAUUUAUUGGUCUCACAUUUUUCCAGAUAGCUUUUGAUUUUCUGUUAAGAUUUAAAUGGGGGAUUGUCAGAAGUAUAGCAUCAUGGUCUGACAGCCCAUUUAGGACUUGACUGACAGUCAGGCUAUUGCGCCUAGACUUAUCAACAAACACAUUAUCAAUUAGAGUACUGGAGUGGUCAGUUACCCAAGUGGGAAAUUUAACUACUUGCAUUAGAUUGUAACAGCUCAUCAGUUGCUCCAGCUCCAUUCUGUCAUAACUUUCAUUUAGGAACUUUACAUACAUUAAAGUCACCUAGUAUUAUGACUGAAAAGUUUUUUCUGUACAAUUUAUCACAGAUUGCAAAUUCAGUUAACGUAUUUUUGCCCUACUAGAACACAUUUUUCAGUUUUCACUCACCAGAAAUUAAAUGGAAGAAUGGAAGAAAGUUCUAUGUCAGUUAAGCUGCUUACACAUGCGAUGAGGCAGCUAAUGUUGAAGUGCACGCAAACGGGAUACACCACGUCACGAGGCACAGCACAGCUGGCACACAGGAUGAGCCAGUUAACGUGAUCUUGAGCUCUCAGCGCUAUCCAGCAGCAGUUGUUGAAUUUAUUUAGUGCGCGAAGCACACGUUUCACAAAGUGAAUAUGGAUCAAACUCAAUUAGCUGUGUUGGCUUUAUUGGCUAUUGUGGAAGAUGAGCGGAGAAAACACCGCAGAAGUUAAUGGACACGCCAGUGGAUUCGGCAGCGCGAUAAUGGUAGAGGAACGAUUCAUAUGCUGCACCAUGAACUGAGAUUAGAAGACGCAGAGUUGUUUCGGAACUUCACCAGAAUGGAUGAAGACGUGUUUUCGAAGUUACUGAGUAUAACUGGCAAUGACAUUUGCCGCCAAGACACCAACAUGAGACAAUUGAUAAAACCGUUAUCGACUGGCAGUCACUUUAAGAUUUUUGGCGACUGGAGAAACGUUCCAGUCUCUGGAUUAUGCAACAAAAAUUGCGCCAUAUACAUUGUCAAAAAUCAUUCCAGAAACGCUGUAGGCGAUUCUUAAUAAUCUGGAAAACAAGUGCAUAAAGAUUCCAAACACGGCUAACGAGUGGAAGCAAGUAGCGCACUCAUUCAAUUUGCUGUGGCAAUUCCCCCAUUGCAUAGGUGCAGUUGAUGGUAAAAAGGUAACCUUCCAGGCUCCGAGAGCAGCAGGCGCCUACUUCAGAGACUACAAAGGCCACAACAGCAUUGUGCUCCUGGCGGUUAUUGAUGCCCAUUAUAGGUUCUUAUAUACAAACAUUGGUGCUAAUGGUAGAGUUAAUGAUGUGGCAAUUUUUAACCAAAGCAAACUAUCAGAGGCCUUACAGAGCAAUAACAUGAAUUUGCCGCCCCCUGAGAAAGUCGAGUGUUUCAAUGGGCCUGACCUGCCAUAUGUAUGUGGUAGACGAUGCUUUUGCUCUCAAAUCAUAUAUGAUGAAACCCUAUCCAGAGAGAGGGUUGUCAAAAGAACAGAAGGUAAGCAGAGCCCGGAGACUAGUGGAGAAUGCUUUCAGCAUAAUGUCAAACAAAUUUGGAGUUCUACUAAGCCCAAUUAUUAUAUCACCGAAUAAGGUUGACACAAUCAUCAGAACUUGCUGUGUUCUGCACAAUUUUAUUCUGGAGCAAAAUCCCAGAUGGUAUGUGCCAGGAGACAUACAUAACAUAUCUAUGGAAGGAAUUCCAAGACAACAUGGAAGGCAUGCAGCUGCAGAUGCAUUGAAAGUCAGAGAUGACUUCAAGAUGUAUUUCAACUCCAUAGGUACUGUCCCAAGGCAAGAAGAGGCUGUUGAUGCUGGGAGGUGGUGAUGACAGUAGAGCUUUGGACAACUACACAAUUAUAUGUAUUUUAUAUCUGUUAUGUAAGAAACUUUUUUUUUUAAAUCAUCAAAUAUUUCUGUUCUGCUAUUUGUACUCAACUUCUAUUGUGUACAGAAGUUGUAAUCCAGAACUUAGUGUACUUUCCUGUACAUAAUACACAUAAUAAAUGUUAUUUUGUGAGCACCAGUGCCCAGUUGAGAAAAAAAUUUAGUUUUCCAUAACAAUAAAGA